Long non-coding RNA from Hippocampus comes (tiger tail seahorse), 676 nucleotides. RefSeq lists it as uncharacterized. The record is from RefSeq and is a predicted model, not a curated record. The transcript has 2 exons. NCBI's taxonomy places the organism in Eukaryota, Metazoa, Chordata, Actinopteri, Syngnathiformes, Syngnathidae.
ACUUUAUAUUCUAUAGUACAAUCAGGUUAAUUGUGUUGAUGUUUGUACUGUGGUUUUAACUUCUUUUUACACUCGGCAACAUGUGCUGAGAAGUUAAAAAACGAGAUGCGUGAGACACAUCAAAAAUUUGUUUUUCCGUCUCAAUGCGACCAACACUAAAUAUCCUUUGCAAUAUUCCCCAGGUAUGAAUUUGUUUGAGUUUCCUUGAUCGACCUUACGAGGUUCCACUGUAUGAGGUUUAUAGAAGUGUUAAGCUUCUCAAGUCUUUGAAGUAAAAAACAAAAAUCUAUUCAGCAGAGAUAGCACAUGUGUCUGGGGCGCUGCCGGCAAAGGUGGCAUCAAACCAAUUUGACAUUUAGGCGAGUACGAGACAAGUUAGCUCAUGUUUGUUCAUAAUUAGAUAACAAAAUCCAUCAAUGCGGGGGUUGAAUUUCAAGUCGACAUCAACUCUUUGGCCAUUCUUUGACCGCCCCAGCACCGUGCGUGCAUCUAUGCUCUGCAAAGGAAACUUUCAAGAUCAGAUCAGAUUCUGCUGGAUGUCGGUAUGUUUGCAGGAGCCGGUCGAGCAGGUAUUUUAUCUCUCAGAAACUGCUGGUGCCUCUGUGGCGAAGCCACACAAUCUAUGUCAAGAAAUCAGUACUUUCAAACUUCUUACAUGUUUAUAUGAACAAAAAAA